This 1177-nucleotide ribosomal RNA is filed under the name Xenorhabdus mauleonii. RNAcentral describes it as "bacterial LSU rRNA". It matches the Rfam family "Bacterial large subunit ribosomal RNA", at positions 1752 to 2925 of the family's 2925-position model. The record is from RNAcentral. Lineage: Bacteria; Pseudomonadati; Pseudomonadota; Gammaproteobacteria; Enterobacterales; Morganellaceae.
UGCUCCCGGAGCCGAGGCCAGUCGCAGAUACCAGCUGGCUGCAACUGUUUAAUAAAAACACAGCACUGUGCAAACACGAAAGUGGACGUAUACGGUGUGACGCCUGCCCGGUGCUGGAAGGUUAAUUGAUGGGGUUAGCGGCAACGCGAAGCUCUUGAUCGAAGCCCCAGUAAACGGCGGCCGUAACUAUAACGGUCCUAAGGUAGCGAAAUUCCUUGUCGGGUAAGUUCCGACCUGCACGAAUGGCGUAAUGAUGGCCAGGCUGUCUCCACCCGAGACUCAGUGAAAUUGAACUCGCUGUGAAGAUGCAGUGUACCCGCGGCAAGACGGAAAGACCCCGUGAACCUUUACUAUAGCUUGACACUGAACCUUGAGCCUUGAUGUGUAGGAUAGGUGGGAGGCUUUGAAGUGUGGACGCCAGUCUGCAUGGAGCCAUCCUUGAAAUACCACCCUUGAAUGUUUGAUGUUCUAACGUAGGCCCGUUAUCCGGGUUGCGGACAGUGUCUGGUGGGUAGUUUGACUGGGGCGGUCUCCUCCCAAAGCGUAACGGAGGAGCACGAAGGUUAGCUAAUCACGGUCGGACAUCGUGAGGUUAGUGCAAAGGCAUAAGCUAGCUUGACUGCGAGAGUGACGGCUCGAGCAGGUACGAAAGUAGGUCUUAGUGAUCCGGUGGUUCUGAAUGGAAGGGCCAUCGCUCAACGGAUAAAAGGUACUCCGGGGAUAACAGGCUGAUACCGCCCAAGAGUUCAUAUCGACGGCGGUGUUUGGCACCUCGAUGUCGGCUCAUCACAUCCUGGGGCUGAAGUAGGUCCCAAGGGUACGGCUGUUCGCCGUUUAAAGUGGUACGCGAGCUGGGUUUAGAACGUCGUGAGACAGUUCGGUCCCUAUCUGCCGUGGGCGUUGGAAGAUUGAAAGGGGCUGCUCCUAGUACGAGAGGACCGGAGUGGACGCACCACUGGUGUUCGGGUUGUCAUGCCAAUGGCACUGCCCGGUAGCUAAGUGCGGAAGAGAUAACCGCUGAAAGCAUCUAAGCGGGAAACUUGCCUUGAGAUGAGUCUUCCCUUGUCCCUUGAGGACACUGAAGGAGCGUUCGAGACGAGGACGUGGAUAGGCUGGGUGUGUAAGCGUUGCGAGACGUUGAGCUAACCAGUACUAAUGAACCGUGAGGCUUAACCUG